UAUCACAAGACCUCUUGUCAGGCAGG
This 26-nucleotide non-coding RNA is filed under the name Mus musculus (house mouse). The record is from RNAcentral. Lineage: Eukaryota; Metazoa; Chordata; Mammalia; Rodentia; Muridae.